Molecule: unclassified non-coding RNA, 249 nt
Filed under: Helicosporium gracile
Lineage: Eukaryota; Fungi; Ascomycota; Dothideomycetes; Tubeufiales; Tubeufiaceae
Description: partial contains 5.8S ribosomal RNA, internal transcribed spacer 2, and large subunit ribosomal RNA
Source: RNAcentral
CGCACAUUGCGCCCCUUGGUAUUCCGAGGGGCAUGCCUGUUCGAGCGUCAUUUCAACCCUCAAGCUUCGGCUUGGUGUUGGGCCCUCGUCCCUCACCGGACGUGCCCGAAACCCGUAGGCGGUGGCCCUCAGCUCCCUGGCGUAGUUAUACAUUCCGCCAUGAGAACUGGGAGUCUCUCGCCUGACAACCCCCCAUUUUAAUCACUGAAGUUUGACCUCGGAUCAGGUAGGGAUACCCGCUGAACUUAA